GCGCUCGCUUCGGCAGCACAGGUACCAAAAUUGGAAUGAUACAAAGAAGAUGAGCAGCGUCCCUGCGCAAGGAUGACACGGAAAGUCGUGAAGCAUCCCCUAUUUUU
This is a small nuclear RNA of Ochotona princeps (American pika), 107 nucleotides long. Lineage: Eukaryota; Metazoa; Chordata; Mammalia; Lagomorpha; Ochotonidae. The record is from Ensembl.